CCCCCCCCCCCGCGACUCCUCGCCGCCGCCGCCGCCGCCACCACCAUCACUCACGGCGGGUGGCAGACCUACGACCUCCUCUCGCUGUGCUCCAUCCUCUCAUCCCUCCAGAUUCGUUGCUAGAGGCCUCCCGUGCUCGCUACCGACCUUCAGCCGUGGCUAGGGUUUCGGGCGCGGCGUCCCCUUCGUCGCCGGCGAGGCUCUGGCGUCCUAGGGCGGCUCGUCCCCCCACGCCCUCGUGUGGUUGGUCAUGAGGUGCACGCAGUGCGUCGGGCCGUGCCUCCUUUGCACCAAUGUUAACUUCAGGAGCUGAAGUAAGAGAAAAUGAAGGAUGUUGCGCCAAUGCUGGUCUGGAGCACCACUCAGAGGCCUUGUUGUCGAGUGGGAGGAUCAGAAAGUAGUGGGAGGCGACGCCGAGUGGAUCAACGAUAGUUGUGCCGUGUUUGGUCCAGGAGCUGGCGGCAGGAAGCGAAGGUCAUCAAGGUCGCAGUCCACAGAUCCUCGUCCCUGUUGUGCCACCCCACAGAUGAUUUCCUCUUUGGUCGCCCCUCCUCACGGACGCUUCAGAGCGACAUCUCAGCACAGCAUUGAUUGAGGAGAGGAUCAUUGUCGUGCGCUCGAUGGCGGGAACAGAUCGAGGUCCUCAUUCGACCUUAAUUUCAAGCAGUAGCAUUUCAUCUAUUGCAGUCUGGAGCAAGUGAGCCUUCGCAAGAAACUGUACCUUCUGUUCAAGAUAGUGUCCUGCACCAGCAUCCAUCAGAAUUCUAUACCCGACAGUCAUGGUAUGAAGGAUCUCACGUUUAGCCGGCCUAUGGACAACCCUUUUGGUCAUCGCUACUACCUCGGCAAAGUCACACAGGACCCAGUGCUUCACACUGCCUCCAAAGCAUUCGAAGCAGGUGUCCGCGUACAUGGUAUAAUUGUCUCUGCACAUAUAUCAUCGUGCAUUCAAAUGAAGAACAAAGACGUCUAAAAGAUUCUGAAGCUUCAUUCUGGAGUUACAUGAAUCUGGGGCUGACUGAGGGAGAUCAAAAUGGUACUAGAUGGUAACAUUAGGCUGUAUGCCUGCAGUGAUGGUUAAUCAAGAUCGAUCAAAGGCCAUGUUCAGGUGUCGCUGCCGUGACUUGUUUGGCAUUAGUCUGAUAUCCGUUAGGCGGUGGUAACCUUCUUUUGAUGGUUGUCGGCACACAUCUUCAGUCACACGUACACCAUACGAGGUAUUGAAUAACCUAUCCUCUCAUUUUUAUUGUCAUUGCCAUAACUUUUACAGGCUUCUCAUCAAAGUUCUUGCCUCUGAGCCCACUCUCUGCCAUGAUGUGCUGAUCUGCUCAUUUUACAUUAUGUGUUUGUUUGUCUGUUUGUGUGAACUUUCAGUUUUCCAGAAGUUUUUGUUUUAGCAUGCCACUUCUAGCUUUGUAUAUACUAUAAGCUAAACUCAGGUAGAAGUAGUAUUUUCCAAUUUUCAAUUUGCUUUUCAAUUAUUUAUUUAUUUUAGGAGGGGCGUUAGUUCAUUGAUUUAAUAAAUUUUUUUAGCAGUCCAAACAGCAGGAGAGGUUCCCACUGCUAUAUUUUAAAUUUUUGAGAAAUAAUUACAUACUGUCUGUAUGCCCACCAAUUGGUGGCAGAAAGGGUCUUUUUUUGCGAAAGGGCAGAAAGGGUUUUGCAAAUAAAACAAGGCCAAGUAUAAAAAUUAUACAAGGGUCUGGCCAUGAACUUUAGAAUCCCUAGGUCUGAAGUUAGUCCUCUCUUCCAACUGAGCAAUAUGCAGAGCCUCUAGUACGCGCAUCCAUGCUCUGUCGCCGCCACCUGCUACUUCAAGUCCGCCAACAGCCUCGCCGGAAACUGGGGCUUAUCCAUAGCCCAACUCAAUCUCUGCGUCGCUCUCCUCACCUGUAUACAUGCAUCUCGUUCAUCUGUUCGUUGUACAACUUGUAGUGGAUUUUAGGUGUACAACCAUAUUAUUGUGGAUUUUAGGAAUUCACAGAAAAAAAUGCUUAUCUGAAUUCAGGUGUACAACCAUACUGUUGUGGAUUUUAGGUUGGAUGCUCACAUAAGAGGUGAUCUGAUUUUGUUAUCGCUCGUCUCUCUUUGUAGAUUUUUGCUCAUGCUGGGAUGUGUCCACGUGUUGAUUUUUGUUCAUGUGUGGAAGCUGGACUGUGUCUAUAUGUACAUUUUUCUCAUGUGUAGCUUGUCAUUUACCCAAAUUAUUGUUCUUCCAUUCGGGCAAGCUUUAGUUGCAGAUCCACGCUUAAAAUUUUAUUGUGCAGAUGCAUCUUUGCAUGCUUGUUCUGCUUGAGCCCGCCGCCUCGCCGUGAAGCCCUCUGCUGCAGCCUCUCACUUCACUAUCGACGACACUCUGCUCCAACCCGUCUCUGUCCAGUACCGGACAAACCUGUUGUAAAGAUGUGCUUAUAGUUUCUCAUGCCCUCAACUACUAUUUUAGCUUUAGUAUGCUAUGGGUAUACACAUAGCCACUACAAUGGUCAGUACCAAGGAUUACAACAUAUGGGUCCACUUGUUGCAGGCAGUGUCCUCCUGUUGGCGAAGUUCCAAGGUGGAUGUGCAACGCCAUGACCAAGAUCUUCAAAUGUCCAAUGUUUCAUAGAUCAUGGCACAUGUCUCUUUUCUGUUAAAUAAAUAGUGACUUUCUCCUUCUUUUCCUUAGAUAAAUUUUUCAUUGAGGAGAUCAUAUUCCUUUGUUUGUUGUCCAAUAUAAACGACAUAGAGUUGGUUUUACCAUGAUUAAAUUUCUUGUUGGAAUGUCAAGGAUCAAUUACGGAUGUUUGUUAAGAACCGUUUGAAUGAACACCAGGCUCGACCUCAAUAAGUGCGCAAUCUGCUUCUCGGUCGGUCCCCUUUCCCUGAGUUUCUUC
This is a long non-coding RNA of Triticum aestivum (bread wheat), 2873 nucleotides long. RefSeq lists it as uncharacterized. The record is from RefSeq and is a predicted model, not a curated record. NCBI's taxonomy places the organism in Eukaryota, Viridiplantae, Streptophyta, Magnoliopsida, Poales, Poaceae. The transcript has 10 exons.